GGGACUUUAGUAUAAUGGUGAAUGCAUAUGACUUUAAUCAUUAAAAUGUAGGUUCGAAUCCUGCAAGUCCUA
Molecule: transfer RNA, 72 nt
Filed under: Fusarium pseudograminearum
Lineage: Eukaryota; Fungi; Ascomycota; Sordariomycetes; Hypocreales; Nectriaceae
Description: tRNA-OTHER
Rfam family: tRNA
About the family: Transfer RNA (tRNA) molecules are approximately 80 nucleotides in length. Their secondary structure includes four short double-helical elements and three loops (D, anti-codon, and T loops). Further hydrogen bonds mediate the characteristic L-shaped molecular structure. tRNAs have two regions of fundamental functional importance: the anti-codon, which is responsible for specific mRNA codon recognition, and the 3' end, to which the tRNAs corresponding amino acid is attached (by aminoacyl-tRNA synthetases). tRNAs cope with the degeneracy of the genetic code in two manners: having more than one tRNA (with a specific anti-codon) for a particular amino acid; and 'wobble' base-pairing, i.e. permitting non-standard base-pairing at the 3rd anti-codon position.
Source: RNAcentral